GCGCCCUUAGCUCAGUUGGAUAGAGUGGCUGACUUCGAAUCAGUAGGCCGCGGGUUCGAAUCCUGCAGGGCGUGCCA
Molecule: transfer RNA, 77 nt
Filed under: Bacillota bacterium
Lineage: Bacteria; Bacillati; Bacillota
Description: tRNA-Arg
Rfam family: tRNA
About the family: Transfer RNA (tRNA) molecules are approximately 80 nucleotides in length. Their secondary structure includes four short double-helical elements and three loops (D, anti-codon, and T loops).
Source: RNAcentral